RNAcentral lists this ribosomal RNA (363 nucleotides) under uncultured eukaryote. RNAcentral describes it as "partial 18S ribosomal RNA". It matches the Rfam family "Eukaryotic small subunit ribosomal RNA", at positions 592 to 976 of the family's 1831-position model. The record is from RNAcentral.
CAAUAGCAUAUAUUAACGUUGUUGCAGUUGAAAAGCUCGUAGUUGAACUUUUGGUAGGAGCGACCUGGCCUUGGGCGCAUGCCCUUGUUUGCCGUGUGUCGUAUCUGGCCAUCCUUUUCUUCGUUUUUCGGAGGAAUCUUUUACUGUGAGUAAACUGGAGUGCUCAAAACAAGACGUUUGUUUGGUACAUUAAAGCAUGGAAUAAUAAGAUAGGACCUGGUUACUAUUUUGUUGGUUUGCAUAGCUAGGUAAUGAUUAACAGGGACAGUUGGGGGUAUUCGUAUUUAAUUGUCAGAGGUGAAAUUCUUGGAUUUAUGAAAGACGAACGACUGCGAAAGCAUUUACCAAGGAUGUUUNCAUUAA